CCAGCUCCAAGAGUGUAUAUUAAAGUUGUUGCGGUUAAAAAGCUCGUAGUUGGACUUUGGGUAGGGGCGUGCGGUCCCCGGCGGGCGACCGUCGGGAUCGAGGCCGUGCGUUUCCGUCCCCGUUCUCGGAACGCAAACGGCGGCGGAAGCCGUCGGUUCCGUAGGGUUUACUUUGAAUAAAUUAGGGUGUUCAAAGCAGGCGAAUCGCCUUGAAUACAUUAGCAUGGGAUAAUGAAAGAUGACCUUCUUUUCGGUCUAUACUUUAUUGGUUUCUAAGGCCGAGGUAAUGAUUGAUAGGGACGGUCGGGGUCGCUCGUAUUCAGUGGUCAGAGGUGAAAUUCUAGGACCCAUUGAGGACAAACGAAUGCGAAGGCAUUCGACAAGGAUGUUUUCA
This 394-nucleotide ribosomal RNA is filed under the name uncultured Saccamoeba. RNAcentral describes it as "SSU rRNA". It matches the Rfam family "Eukaryotic small subunit ribosomal RNA", at positions 585 to 972 of the family's 1831-position model. The record is from RNAcentral. Lineage: Eukaryota; Tubulinea; Elardia; Euamoebida; Hartmannellidae.